Molecule: long non-coding RNA, 3243 nt
Organism: Cucumis sativus (cucumber)
Lineage: Eukaryota; Viridiplantae; Streptophyta; Magnoliopsida; Cucurbitales; Cucurbitaceae
Exons: 5
Source: RefSeq, a predicted model, not a curated record
CUCUCCCUCUCUUAUUUAUUUAGGAUCGGUUAGCGUGGCGCAUCAGUUUAUCCCGCCAUCUGCAGCUUUUGGCAAAAGGAGUUGAUUGGAGUUGGAAAGGGUGAGACGACUCGUCCCCUUUGACCUCGCCACUCCCCUUCCUCCUCCUUCCUCUCCGCUUGCUUUCUAGUUUGUCCCCUACUCAAUUUCAGCCUCCAUUUCCCUUUUCGUCCCUCCAAUUCAAGUUCAUUAUCUUCACCUUUUUCACGCUUUCAUGUUUUCUCUACCCUUUUAUCGCCAUUGCUUUCGCAACCAUGCUCUGUUUUCUUUGACUCAAAAUAACCUCUUCACACCAUUACUACAUAACCCUCAUCUGCUCCGUUUUCCUCAUAUCUAUUCAACAAAUUAUUACUACCUUCACAAACCCCUGUUUCAUUGUCCCUGAUGGAUCCAACCUGGACUUGGAAUCAAUGUAGCAGCUUUUCUUUUUCCUGAUUUUUUUUUUAUGGGGAGGUUAAGCUAUAUUAAUAAAUGGAGUCUCGUGAUCAGCAGUGUAGCAAAGGAGAUGGUCAUGUAGAACUAUAAUGCGUUCGUGACUUGAAGAUGUAAUCAGUUAAAAUUCAGGUUCCCAUGAUAUUGACAAAAGUAAGGUGUCUGAUAAACUAUUUUAUUUAUUUAUUUAAUUUCUUUUGCAAUAUUCUGCUGAGGUCACUUUUGAGUCUUUCAUAUAUAGCAGAUUGAGAAUAAUGGGGGUGAUUAUAUUUAGGACGUUACUUGUCUUCCAUCCAUCAGGCACGUGAGAAGGUGAAAAUGGCUUCAAUAAUUGAGUAACAAUGGUUGAAAUUUGAGAACGUAUGUUGGUCAUUACUUUGGUACGACUUGAUUUUAAUCUGGGAUGACUUCAAAUUUUUGUAAUCAUAUGAAGUGUGUGGGAACAUGUAAUGACUUCAGAGGUAAUCGGAGUCUUAAAAAUCCCAAUUAAGGCGCCUGGUUAGAUGGGGAACCUGCAUCUCGCUUCAAAGAAGUGAGGCUCCCUCAAUGAAGCAUGUUUCAGUGCUCCCUGAAUCUUAUUCUCUCUCCUCGGUUUCAAUUAACUCGUGCUUCUUGAAAAACCAAAAAGAAAAGCAAAUGAUAAGUGAAAUUUUUUAGUCCUGAAGGACCUUCACCUGCCAUUACUGGUCAAGCUGGGUGACGUGCAAAUUGGUUUGUUGGAGUAAAUGUGAAGUUCAGAUGAAUUCUCAGUGUCAUUAACAUGUGGGUUGAGAUAUUUGCUAUUUUCUUGAUUUCUUAGUUUAUUCUUACUUUUAAAUCUGACCUGCCAGCUUUUUCGAUCUGCGACUUUUCCAUCGUUUCCUUGAGGUACAUAGCUAGUCAAAGUGAUGAUGAACGGAGGUUCAAUUUUGGCAUAUAAACUUUUUGACUUCCAUUGUUCCACAUUCUUAUCUGGACCUGAAAUUGAAGUUUCGAGUCAUGGUUCUAGACUCAUGUAAACAGUUAACUAAUUCUCUUUUGUUUUAGUUUUCUGUAACUUGAUUUAUAGAACUUUAGUCCCAUAGUGUACAUACUACAGGAUUGGAAUUCUUCUUUUAGUCUUUUAGGUUGCCGCUUAUUUAUUGAAACUCUUGAGAUACUUUUUUAUUGGCUAGAUAUUUGUAGCUUCGUGCCACAAACAGAUGAUGGCUGUAUGGGUGGCCAUUUUUGUAGCAGUGAGGACAGAAUAGUAAGUGUGACUUUGAUUAAAAUUAUUUCAUGAGUAAAAAAACCGUCAUAUUGCAUAAUAUGAUUUCUAGUUUCUACAUAGCUUUGGCUAGAUUUAAUGGUAAGAGAAACAUCAAUCUUUUAGAAAUCAAGAAAAGACGGUACAACUAGUCGCUUUCACAUCAGUUCAUGUUUUUAUGAUGUGAUUAUUACAAUUUUCUUGUGUUUGCAAGGACACGGAGGGAUAUGGUUUUUAUUCAAUAAUAUGUUGACUUAUCUCUUCGAGGUAACUAUUUUUGCUAAUUCCGAGAAAUUGAGAAUAAUGAAUAUCAGAAGGUUUAGGUAUUGCAAUGCACUUUUUUUGUUCUGCCAUUAGUUUUCGUUAAAAUAUUUCGGACUUUCUAUGGUAUAAUCCAAAAUACUACUAUUAUAUGCAUCAUUUUUUAGUUCUUGCACAAAAAAUGUGGUGUACAAAAGAAAUCUCAAGAUGCUUUUGUGAAUUAUAGUUUUAGACUUCUUUAUAAGUUUCCACCUCGGAGCAGCUCAAUGGUUUCAAUUUCUCGUAGCUAAAUACCAGGUCUAUAAUUGUUAUAUUUGCCACUCCAUACUUGUUUUCUCUUUCUUUUGCUCUGUAUUGGCUAGUUUUUAAUUUAUUGUUUUUUUCCCGAUGUUCGCAGGUCAACAGAGUUGAUUUUUGUCGAUGCCACUGCUACGUUUAUUCAUAAUCCUUCUCGUUUAUGAGAAUGUUUCUGGUACAAGAGUAUAUAUAUGCUUGUAGUUACAGAGAGGCAAACUUAUGAGUUGAAUCAAUUAGGCCUAGAGACAGAGUAUACCUAACCUAUUGAUUUGGAUAAUGGCAUUAGCCGAACUAACCCCACUCAACCCAAUCAAUUGAGUUGGGGUUGAAUGAAGUCAAGCUAAAGACAAGAGUUGAUGAACCAACCUGACAUUGUUAGACUCUGGCCCAAAUCAUUUAAUGAGUUGUAUUCAUCGUGUACUUUUUGGGUCAUUAUGGCCAACAUUGAGGGUUGUUUGGCUUUUCAGAUGCUUAUUGAAAAAUCAUUCCAAACAGGUGUUAAGACACAUACACACUGGUAGUCUCUCCUUUCCACAUGUCAACUCAAGUGUUGUAGCAGCAUAGGAAAACCCCAUAACUUAAUUUUUGAUGCAUUUUAAUUAAUCUAAACUUCUGUGAGGGUAUUGCAGGUAUUGAAAAUACUGUGUUGUACUUGCACAGGGCUGAUGAUGUAUUGGUGCAAGAAAUACCAAUAUGAAUUUAACAGUGUUAUCAGCCCGCCAUCAGUUCAGGAAAUUGAAAUGGGGCCAGCAGAAGACUCGUCCCUUAUGUGGAAUUGAGAGAAACGUUACCCCUCCGGCUCAAUAAUUUAUUGGAACCGCAAACACCCAAAUAUUUCUACUGUGCAUCAAAUCAAAACAUCUUGUCUCAUUAUUUAUGAGAUUUGUAAUUUAAAUACUUCCGUCUUAAAAAUCUUAGUUUAAUACUUUUAGUUUUUUUUUAUAAUAUAUAUAUAAUAUUAAAUAGCUAAAAAAAAUUGCAAUUGUGAA